RNAcentral lists this ribosomal RNA (273 nucleotides) under uncultured Prevotella sp. RNAcentral's name for it is "partial 16S ribosomal RNA". It matches the Rfam family "Bacterial small subunit ribosomal RNA", at positions 82 to 355 of the family's 1533-position model. The record is from RNAcentral. Lineage: Bacteria; Pseudomonadati; Bacteroidota; Bacteroidia; Bacteroidales; Prevotellaceae.
CCUUUGAUGACGACUGGCGCACGGGUGAGUAACGCGUAUCCAACCUUCCCAUACUACGGGAUAACCCGUUGAAAGACGGCCUAAUACCGUAUGAUAUCGUUUGCUGACAUCAAAUAGCGAUUAAAGGUUUAGCGGUUAUGGAUGGGGAUGCGUCUGAUUAGCUUGUUGGCGGGGUAACGGCCCACCAAGGCAACGAUCAGUAGGGGUUCUGAGAGGAAGGUCCCCCACAUUGGAACUGAGACACGGUCCAAACUCCUACGGGAGGCAGCAGCC